RNAcentral lists this ribosomal RNA (861 nucleotides) under fungal sp. NIOCC F59. RNAcentral's name for it is "SSU rRNA". It matches the Rfam family "Eukaryotic small subunit ribosomal RNA", at positions 130 to 998 of the family's 1831-position model. The record is from RNAcentral. Lineage: Eukaryota; Fungi.
CUUUACUACAUAGGAUACCUGUGGUAAUUCUAGAGCUUAAUACAUGCUAAAAACCUCGACUUCGGAAGGGGUGUAUUUAUUAGAUAAAAAACCAACGCCCUUCGGGGCUCCUUGGUGAAUCAUAAUAACUAAGCGAAUCGCAUGGCCUUGCGCCGGCGAUGGUUCAUUCAAAUUUCUGCCCUAUCAACUUUCGAUGGUAGGAUAGUGGCCUACCAUGGUGGCAACGGGUAACGGGGAAUUAGGGUUCGAUUCCGGAGAGGGAGCCUGAGAAACGGCUACCACAUCCAAGGAAGGCAGCAGGCGCGCAAAUUACCCAAUCCCGACACGGGGAGGUAGUGACAAUAAAUACUGAUACGGGGCUCUUUUGGGUCUCGUAAUUGGAAUGAGUACAAUCUAAAUCCCUUAACGAGGAACAAUUGGAGGGCAAGUCUGGUGCCAGCAGCCGCGGUAAUUCCAGCUCCAAUAGCGUAUAUUAAAGUUGUUGCAGUUAAAAAGCUCGUAGUUGAACCUUGGGUCUGGCUGGCCGGUCCGCCUCACCGCGAGUACUGGUCCGGCUGGACCUUUCCUUCUGGGGAACCUCAUGGCCUUCACUGGCUGUGGGGGGAACCAGGACUUUUACUGUGAAAAAAUUAGAGUGUUCAAAGCAGGCCUUUGCUCGAAUACAUUAGCAUGGAAUAAUAGAAUAGGACGUGCGGUUCUAUUUUGUUGGUUUCUAGGACCGCCGUAAUGAUUAAUAGGGAUAGUCGGGGGCGUCAGUAUUCAGCUGUCAGAGGUGAAAUUCUUGGAUUUGCUGAAGACUAACUACUGCGAAAGCAUUCGCCAAGGAUGUUUUCAUUAAUCAGGGAACGAAAGUUUAGGGGA